This 1300-nucleotide ribosomal RNA is filed under the name Plagusia squamosa. Its description in RNAcentral is "16S ribosomal RNA". The stretch from base 1065 to 1224 matches the Rfam family "Bacterial large subunit ribosomal RNA", at positions 2473 to 2632 of the family's 2925-position model. Lineage: Eukaryota; Metazoa; Arthropoda; Malacostraca; Decapoda; Plagusiidae. The record is from RNAcentral.
UUUGGUAAUUUGUUUAAAUGAAAAAAGUAAGUGUAUUUUUUUAAGAAAAAUAAUUUUAAUUUUUAAGUAAUUUUUAAUGAAAGUUAGAUUUGACUAUAGCGAAAGAGUACUGUGAAGGAAAGAUAAAGAAAUAAGAUAGUAAAUAUUAAGUGUUGUACCUUGUGUAUCAGGGAGAAUCUAAAUAAAUUAUAUAAAUAAAAAUCUCGAAAUAAAAACAGUUAAUCUUACAUUCUUUUUUUGUAAAAAAUAAAUGUUAAAUGUGAAAUUAAAGGUGAAAUGUCAGUCGAGUUUUAUUAUAUCUAGUUUUUUAGGAGAAAAAUUUAAUUUUGUUUUUGCAAAGACCAGAUUGUAAAAAUUAAUUGUAGGAGGGAUUAGCUUCUUAUAAACGUAAUUAUAAAAAGUGUAGGUGAAUGUGUGUAAUUUUGAACUAGGGUUAAUAGUACUCUUGUUGGUAAAGUGUUUUAACUAAAUUAAGUAGUAGUAAAAUAUUUGCUUUUAACUUUUAAAUCACACUAAAAAAUUAAUUCUAAUGUGAAACGUUAAGAUAUAAUGGUUUUAUUAGUAAAAAAUUGUUAUUAAUUUAAAAAAUAAAAUAAUAAAUUUUGUUUAAAAAUAAAAGUAAAGUAUAAAGGAACUCGGCAAAUAAUUUUUCUGCCUGUUUAUCAAAAACAUGUCUGUUUGUAGUUGUAGAGAGUUUAACCUGCCCACUGAUAAAAAUUUAAAGGCCGCGGUAAUUUGACCGUGCAAAGGUAGCAUAGUAAUUAGUUUCUUAAUUGGGAUCUUGUAUGAAUGGUUGGACAAGAAAAAAUCUGUCUUUAUAUUUAUUAUUGAAUUUAACUUUUGAGUGAAAAGGCUUAAAUGAAUUAAAGGGACGAUAAGACCCUAUAAAACUUUAUAUUGUUUAUUAUAUAGUUGAAUUUUAUGGAAUAAAAGCUUAAUAAUAGGAUUUAUUAUAUUGGGGUGAUAAAGGUAAAAUUUUUGAUAACUGCUUAAUUUUUAAAAACAAAAAUAAAUGAAGUGUAAAAUGAUCCUAAUUAAAGAUUAAAAGUUUAAGUUACUUUAGGGAUAACAGCGUUAUUUUUUUUGAGAGUUCAUAUCGAAAAAAAAGUUUGCGACCUCGAUGUUGAAUUAAAAUUUCUAUAUAAUUGCAGCAGUUAUAUAAGAAGGUCUGUUCGACCUUUAAAUUUUUACAUGAUUUGAGUUCAAACCGGCGUGAGCCAGGUUGGUUUCUAUCUUUUAAUAAAAAAUUUAUUAUUUUAGUACGAAAGGAUUAAAUAAUAAAAAUUAUUUUGAUUUUGGU